This 465-nucleotide ribosomal RNA is filed under the name uncultured bacterium. Its description in RNAcentral is "partial 16S ribosomal RNA". It matches the Rfam family "Bacterial small subunit ribosomal RNA", at positions 338 to 795 of the family's 1533-position model. The record is from RNAcentral.
CCUACGGGAGGCUGCAGUGGGGAAUAUUGCGCAAUGGGCGAAAGCCUGACGCAGCGACGCCGCGUGAGGGAUGAAGGUCUUCGGAUCGUAAACCUCUGUCAGCAGGGAAGAACGGUCACUGUGCUAAUCAGCAGUGAAUUGACGGUACCUGCAAAGGAAGCACCGGCUAACUCCGUGCCAGCAGCCGCGGUAAUACGGAGGGUGCGAGCGUUAAUCGGAAUUACUGGGCGUAAAGCGCUCGUAGGCGGUAUGUCAAGUCAAGGGGGAAAUCCCCGCGCUCAACGUGGGAAGUGCCUUUGAAGCGGGAAAACGGGAGUGUGUGAGAGGAUAGUGGAAUUCCAGGUGUAGGAGGGAAAGCCGUAGAUAUCUGGAGGAACAUCAGUGGCGAAGGCGACUAGCUGGAACAUAACUGACGCUGAGGAGCGAAAGCGUGGGUAGCAAACAGGAUUAGAUACACGGGUAGUC